GAUGAACGCUGGCGGCGUGCUUAACACAUGCAAGUCGAACGAAACACCUUAUUUGAUUUUCUUCGGAACUGAAGAUUUGGUGAUUGAGUGGCGGACGGGUGAGUAACGCGUGGGUAACCUGCCCUGUACAGGGGGAUAACAGUCAGAAAUGACUGCUAAUACCGCAUAAGACCACAGCACCACAUGGUGCAGGGGUAAAAACUCCGGUGGUACAGGAUGGACCCGCGUCUGAUUAGCUGGUUGGUGAGGUAACGGCUCACCAAGGCGACGAUCAGUAGCCGGCUUGAGAGAGUGAACGGCCACAUUGGGACUGAGACACGGCCCAAACUCCUACGGGAGGCAGCAGUGGGGAAUAUUGCACAAUGGGGGAAACCCUGAUGCAGCGACGCCGCGUGAGUGAAGAAGUAUCUCGGUAUGUAAAGCUCUAUCAGCAGGGAAGAAAAUGACGG
Molecule: ribosomal RNA, 449 nt
Filed under: uncultured bacterium
Lineage: Bacteria
Description: bacterial SSU rRNA
Rfam family: Bacterial small subunit ribosomal RNA
Source: RNAcentral